AUGGUUCAAAAGUGAAAGACGGUCUUGCUGUCACUUAUAGAUGGAUCCGCGCUGCAUUAGCUAGUUGGUAAGGUAACGGCUUACCAAGGCAACGAUGCAUAGCCGACCUGAGAGGGUGAUCGGCCACACUGGAACUGAGACACGGUCCAGACUCCUACGGGAGGCAGCAGUAGGGAAUCUUCCGCAAUGGGCGAAAGCCUGACGGAGCAACGCCGCGUGAGUGAUGAAGGUCUUCGGAUCGUAAAACUCUGUUAUUAGGGAAGAACAUAUGUGUAAGUAACUGUGCACAUCUUGACGGUACCUAAUCAGAAAGCCACGGCUAACUACGUGCCAGCAGCCGCGGUAAUACGUAGGUGGCAAGCGUUAUCCGGAAUUAUUGGGCGUAAAGCGCGCGUAGGCGGUUUUUUAAGUCUGAUGUGAAAGCCCACGGCUCAACCGUGGAGGGUCAUUGGAAACUGGAAAACUUGAGUGCAGAAGAGGAAAGUGGAAUUCCAUGUGUAGCGGUGAAAUGCGCAGAGAUAUGGAGGAACACCAGUGGCGAAGGCGACUUUCUGG
RNAcentral lists this ribosomal RNA (555 nucleotides) under Staphylococcus aureus. Its description in RNAcentral is "bacterial SSU rRNA". It matches the Rfam family "Bacterial small subunit ribosomal RNA", at positions 189 to 732 of the family's 1533-position model. Lineage: Bacteria; Bacillati; Bacillota; Bacilli; Caryophanales; Staphylococcaceae. The record is from RNAcentral.